Molecule: long non-coding RNA, 790 nt
Filed under: Citrus maxima (pomelo)
Lineage: Eukaryota; Viridiplantae; Streptophyta; Magnoliopsida; Sapindales; Rutaceae
Description: long non-coding RNA (CMAX_LNC001039)
Source: RNAcentral
UUUGUUUGAUGUAACAAAUAUUGCCUCAACAUAUUCUUAAUUCAUUCUCGAUAACACCAAGAAAUAACUUCUAAAAGUUUCAAAACACAACGGUAUUUCAGCUUUACUCAAAUGUACAACUGUCCACACUGUCUUUUGCAGAUUCUAGGUCUAAAUUAUCCUAGCUAAAGCGAAAAUAGUACUUCAUAUCUCCCUGCUUCAUAGAUGGAAAAUAGCAGCAGAAGAAAAGGGGAAAGAAGUUCGAAGUCCACGUGUAUUUCAAAUUUUCAACCAGGCGGCCAUUUCAAUUGCCGACCACCCAGAACAUGCAAACGGAGAUGAUAAACAGAUUGGCCUGGAGAAAGAGAAUUUGUUUGAUGUAACAAAUAUUGCCUCAACAUAUUCUUAAUUCAUUCUCGAUAACACCAAGAAAUAACUUCUAAAAGUUUCAAAACACAACGGUAUUUCAGCUUUACUCAAAUGUACAACUGUCCACACUGUCUUUUGCAGAUUCUAGGUCUAAAUUAUCCUAGCUAAAGCGAAAAUAGUACUUCAUAUCUCCCUGCUUCAUAGAUGGAAAAUAGCAGCAGAAGAAAAGGGGAAAGAAGUUCGAAGUCCACGUGUAUUUCAAAUUUUCAACCAGGCGGCCAUUUCAAUUGCCGACCACCCAGAACAUGCAAAUGGAGAUGAUAAACAGAUUGGCCUGGAGAAAGAGAAUUAGAGCAUCGACACAAUUAUGUCAAAUGGAUCAAUGCAAUGAACUAACAAAAAUCAGUAUGGAAAAUAUAUGGAUUAGGAUGAAAGCUUACAA